Molecule: ribosomal RNA, 465 nt
Filed under: Vreelandella stevensii
Lineage: Bacteria; Pseudomonadati; Pseudomonadota; Gammaproteobacteria; Oceanospirillales; Halomonadaceae
Description: partial 16S ribosomal RNA
Rfam family: Bacterial small subunit ribosomal RNA
Source: RNAcentral
CCUACGGGAGGCUGCAGUGGGGAAUAUUGGACAAUGGGGGGAACCCUGAUCCAGCCAUGCCGCGUGUGUGAAGAAGGCCCUCGGGGUGGAAAGCACUUUCAGUGAGGAAGAACGCCUGGUGGUUAAUACCCAUCAGGAAAGACAUCACGCACAGAAGAAGCACCGGCUAACUCCGUGCCAGCAGCCGCGGUAAUACGGAGGGUGCGAGCGUUAAUCGGAAUUACUGGGCGUAAAGCGCGCGUAGGUGGCUUGAUAAGCCGGUUGUGAAAGCCCCGGGCUCAACCUGGGAACGGCAUCCGGAACUGUCAAGCUAGAGUGCAGGAGAGGAAGGUAGAAUUCCCGGUGUAGCGGUGAAAUGCGUAGAGAUCGGGAGGAAUACCAGUGGCGAAGGCGGCCUUCUGGACUGACACUGACACUGAGGUGCGAAAGCGUGGGUAGCAAACAGGAUUAGAUACCCUAGUAGUC